Long non-coding RNA from Vigna radiata var. radiata (mung bean), 587 nucleotides. RefSeq lists it as uncharacterized. The transcript has 3 exons. The record is from RefSeq and is a predicted model, not a curated record. Lineage: Eukaryota; Viridiplantae; Streptophyta; Magnoliopsida; Fabales; Fabaceae.
AACCAACAACAGCAGGAAAAAUAUAAAAUAAAAGAAAAUGGGAAAAAAAUACGUGUUGUUGUUGUUGUUGGUGUGCCUUGUUGUGGCUGCGGGUGUUUGUGUUGAGGCGGAGGAAUACACCGAUUUGCAAAAGGAUUGCUUCAGUCACUGCUGGCAUGGUUGCUUUUUCCCCACAUCAUUCUGCGAUGCCUGGUGUGCUACAGCCUGCAGAUACCCAAUCAAUAUGGGUUUAUGAAAAUGAGCAGUAGAAAGUAAACUUGAUGAUCAAAAUUUUGAGAAGCUGACAGUGGCAACUUCCAGUGGAUUGAAAAUAUUGAGGAUUUCACAUAAAGAUGAUAGGCUGUACCAACUAAGGAAGAUGACUUACGCGCCUCAGCGCUGUCACCCAAAGCCCCAACAAUAUCUAAAUGAAGGCUUUCCGGCGAAGGACAUUACCAUGAUUACUCGGAAAACUUUCUCAUCAAUUUGGCCAUUGCAUUUUGAUUCACUUUUUCCUCCUUCCCUCUCCUUUUUUUCCAUAAUCAUAAUAAUAUCAUAUCAAAUUCUUUUUUCCAUUAUUCUCGUUUCUUCUUUCCUUACUACUUCUU